ACUCAAGUUUCAGCCCUCUACACUCUAUGACCCAGGCUGUGCUCAUCACAGUGCCUGGCACAUAGAAAGCACUAUGUAAAUGUUAGCUCUCAUUAUUGACCUUCUCGCUCCUAUCUGGUUGGACGAGUGGAGUUUUUAAAAAGUUUAUUGAUAAUGUACAUUCUUACAUCACCUGGAUUCUUCUCUCUCAUAGACAACAUUCCAUACGACACAGUUAUUUUAAUAUAAAGAAAAAAAAUUAAAGCAAAAUUGACACAUGGAAAAAAUUUGAUAUCAUGCAGUGUUCCACAAGUGUGGAUCCCUUGCCUCUACAGAGGAGUAGGGCUGGGUGUGAAUUUUCUUUGAGCCGAGCUUAUUCUGGAUAUGUUACAAUUUCACAUGUCCCUAACAUUCAUUUUUGGUUGUUUGGUAGUACAGUUUCUUUCAAUUGACAUUCUUGUCAUGGUUUCGAAGGAGGGCAGGACAGCAGUUUGGUGUAGAAAUAUCCUCAACUCGACAGGAAAACAAGGAAAUUGGAAAAGAAUGAAGCAUUGGGGUGGAGGUGUGGGUCAUAUCCAGAACACACUAAGCUCGGAGAUUAUGAAGGGCUCAAAAGGAAAGAAAGGGAUGAGAAUAGCAGACUGGAUUGAAAAUUUUCCAACAAUGCAUUCUUUUCAAGAAACCUACCUACACAGUGAGUGAGCAUAAGGGAUUGAAGCAAACUUUUGGCUUCAACUGAACUUAAAAAAGACAAAACAGGUGAAAUAAUAAUACAUGGACAAUAGCAAAAAGUAACAAGAGAAAAACAGGGAGUUUAUAUGCUUAAUAUGUAUCAUAGUGUAGUGUGUCCGUACACACUACUGUGGGGAAAGAAUAUAAAACUGAGAGGGUUUUUUUGGGGGGGGAUAUAGAUGAGCUUUUAGAUAAUUUUAUUGAGAAAAAGAUAAAAAUAGCAAAACUUUAAAACCUUAAUACACAAAAAUCGGGGUUAGAUGCAAAAAAAGGCUUAGAAAAAUGCAGUUCCCUUUUUGGCUAAAGGAAAAAAAAGAUACUAGAAAAUAGGAAUAAAUGGACUUUUAUGGAUGAUGGGAGCAAACUUUUAUCGGUGAUAUGUGAGGUACUUGGAGAACCCUUGGGAGGUAUAAAGUACCCAUGAAGAUACAGGAAUUAUAUGAAUACAACUGAAAAAUUCUAGAAACAGACAUAGUUGAAAGAUAACUAAUUGCUCAUGGGUAGACCCAGUCAGUAUAUAAUGAUGACCCCUAAAUAAAUUUUAGUCCCACACUGCCCGAACUAUCAGUUGCCAGGCAACCGAUGAGCUUUUAGAUGAUUGGCAAAGAGUAGGUGGUGUUUUUGUAGUAGAAGAAAGUCAUGAAAUUCAUUUGGAGGAAUGAAACAUCAAGAAUUUCAAGAGAACGAAAAAAGCGAAAGGAUUAAUUGUGUAAACAAUUUAGUUUAAGGGAAUAAGUUUGUCAAUCGGUAGAGCAGAUGAGAGGUACACAAUAUACAGAAGUGAACAAACUUAGUAGUUCACUGUUCGUUAAAUCCAAAGACCCCAGCUACUGGUAUAAAGACAAAAACAGGGAAAUGGACAGCAAUCUGGCAGAGAUGAGGUUUAGAGCAACACCUGACACCAUACACUAAGGUAAGCUCCUAAUGGAUAUUAUACCAAGUACAUAUAAGAAAUAAGUCAAACAAAUUGUAGGAACAAGGAAGAAAUUAUCUUUGAGAUUUAUGGGCAUGGCAUUGUUAGCGCAGUUGUGAGUGUGCCAACCAUCCAGAGCACAAUUUGGAAAGGACUAAAAUUGUACAUACCCUUUGAUCCAGCUAUACCACUGUCAGGUCUGUAUCUCAAAUCAUAAAAGAGGGAAGAGGAUCCAUAUGUGAAAAAUGUUUGCAAACAGCCCUUUUUGUGGUGGCCAGUAAUUGGAAAAUGAGAUGUCUAUUGAUUAGGAAAUGGCUGAUUAAGUUAUGGUAUAUGAAAGUCAUGCAAUAUUAUUCUAUAAAAAUUGAUGAACAGGCUGAUUUUAGAAAGGCCUGAAAAGAUUUACAUGAAUUGAUGCUGAGUAAAACAAG
Molecule: long non-coding RNA, 2055 nt
Organism: Sarcophilus harrisii (Tasmanian devil)
Lineage: Eukaryota; Metazoa; Chordata; Mammalia; Dasyuromorphia; Dasyuridae
Source: Ensembl